RNAcentral lists this ribosomal RNA (497 nucleotides) under uncultured bacterium. RNAcentral describes it as "partial 16S ribosomal RNA". It matches the Rfam family "Bacterial small subunit ribosomal RNA", at positions 28 to 507 of the family's 1533-position model. The record is from RNAcentral.
GAUGAACGCUGGCGGCGUGCCUAAUACAUGCAAGUCGAGCGAACGGACGAGAAGCUUGCUUCUCUGAUGUUAGCGGCGGACGGGUGAGUAACACGUGGAUAACCUACCUAUAAGACUGAGAUAACUUCGGGAAACCGUAGCUAAUACCGGAUAAUAUUUUGAACCGCAUGGUUCAAAAGUGAAAGACGGACUUGCUGUCACUUAUAGAUAGAUCCGCGCUGCAUUAGCUAGUUGGUAAGGUAACGGCCUACCAAGGCAACGAUGCAUAGCCGACCUGAGAGGGUGAUCGGCCACACUGGAACUGAGACACGGUCCAGACUCCUACGGGAGGCAGCAGUAGGGAAUCUUCCGCAAUGGGCGAAAGCCUGACGGAGCAACGCCGCGUGAGUGAUGAAGGUCUUCGGAUCGUAAAACUCUGUUAGUAGGGAAGAACAUAUGUGUAAGUAACUGUGCACAUCUUGACGGUACCUAAUCAGAAAGCCACGGCUAACUACGUG